GGCUCUGAGAGGGGAGGGAACCCAUAGAAGAAAGCGGGAGCCCGGCGCUUCGCCCCUCCCGUUUCCCACUCAUCCGGCGCCGAGGCACCGUAGCGGGAUAUCCUCGCCACCUUUUCGGGUCGCCCGCCCUCGCAGCCCAACCGGGCCUGAGAUAGGCGGGAAGGAUGCUGCCCCGCACGCCGCGCCGCUGAGCACAUCGGGGCCCUGAGCGCCGCGCCCGGCCGGCCCCGCCCGGCGAUCCUCGGGCCUCCGCCUCAGCGGCACGGGGCUUCCUUCUCCGCACCCCCGUCCCUUUGCCGCCCAUCCGCCGGGCUGGGCGCUUCCUCCUCUCCCCCGGCCCCGCCGCCUGCCCGUCCGGGCCUUCCCCUCCCCUGCUCUCCUCUUCCCGCGGGGCCUCCGGGCUCUCGGCCUUCUUCCUCCCCUCCCUCGCCCUUCCCCGUUCGGAGCCAUGUCCUCCGCCGCCCGGUUCGAUUCGUCGGACCGCUCCAGCUGGUACGUGGGUCCGGUGUCGCGGGCGGAGGCGCAGACUCGGCUGCAGGGGCAGCGGCACGGCAUGUUCCUGGUGCGGGAUUCGUCCACCUGCCCGGGGGAUUACGUGCUGUCGGUAUCCGAGAACUCCCGGGUGUCCCACUACAUCAUUAACUCCCUGCCUAACCGCCGCUUUAAGAUCGGCGAUCAGGAGUUCGAGCACCUGCCCGCCCUGCUGGAGUUCUACAAGAUCCACUACCUGGAUACCACCACCCUCAUCGAGCCCGCGCCCAGGUAUCCAAGUCCACCAAUGGGAUCUGGAUCUGCCCCUACUAUGUCUGCUGCCGAAGAAAACGUGGAAUACGUUCGGACUCUCUAUGACUUUCCUGGCAAUGAUGCUGAGGAUCUCCCAUUUAAAAAGGGCGAAAUACUGGUAAUUGUAGAGAAGCCAGAAGAACAGUGGUGGAGUGCCAGAAACAAGGAUGGUCGGAUUGGGAUGAUUCCUGUUCCUUAUGUAGAAAAGCUAGUCAGAUCUUCUAUCGGGAAGCAUGGCAACAGAAAUUCCAACAGUUACGGUAUUCCAGAACCCGCCCAUGCUUAUGCUCAGCCUCAGACCACAAGUCCCCUUCCCACAGUAUCCAGUACACCUGGAGCAGUCAUCAAUCCUCUGCCAUCCACGCAGAAUGGACCAGUCUAUGCCAAAGCUAUCCAAAAGAGAGUACCCUGCGCUUAUGACAAGACUGCACUGGCAUUAGAGUGCCCUGCUUGUACAGUCUCAAUAAAAGUUGCCUCAACUUCCAGUAUUUGUGGUUUUCAGUCUUAAACCCCUGAUAUGUGAGCAGAAUACGAACGGCCUCACUGCUGCUCUGUGGGUGAGCGUGUGCCAGCCGAAGCUUUCUGGAACCACAGCCAGAGGUUACCUUAAUAUCCAGAGCUGCAAACUUUGACAGUCAUUGUGCAGACAGCUGAGCCGUCCUGCAGCAGGGCUACCAGCCUGAGAGGGACAGGCGUGCAGUGAGGAGAGAAAGCAUCACAGCUGUCCCCAACUGAGCCUCCUGUCUGACAUCAGAGCCCAGAGAUGCCACCUUCAAGCAGAAAUCACAUCAACUCUUCAAGCUUGAAUCAGGUCAGCAAGCACUGCUCCUGCAUGACUGCCCUCCCUGGGAGAGGGAAGGACCCCCAGCACCCACCGCUGACACUCAGCCCCACUUCUGCUCUCUGGACCCACACUAAAAGCUGCUGCCGUUGCUCAGGGGGUUGGUGAUGUCUCACCUCACACACUGGACACAGCCUCACCUGCAGAAGUGCCACCCAGGCAGGGGUGAGUGAGAGGCAGCAGAGAAUUAGCACAGCGCUCUCCUCAGAUAACCUUCCCAGCACCUGCUUGUUUCAUUCCAGGCAUUUGUAACCAGAACCCUCCCUGCACACGCCGUCGGUCUCACCCGCCGCUGGCGCACCAGACAAUUGGGAUCAGAGCUAAAUCUGGGGUGUCUGUGGGGACCCAGCUCCUGCUUUGUACAUCCUGGCUUAUCCAACAAGGGCAACUGAAAGUCAGCGCUGAAUAAUCCUUCAUUUCUAAUUGUGCGUUUGGUCAGGAAUUUAAGAACAAAUGCACAAGAGAAAGCGUGACCCUCAAGUGACCGUCAGUGCUCCUGUGGAUAUGCUGCUUCCCAGGCUGACCACGUAAUGAAGCCCUGGGGAGGCCGGGGCAGGAGGAGCUCUGCUCACACAGGGGGGCAAAGCAGUGCUGGUUGGGUGCAUGGCUUUGCCUUCCCCCGGCUGCCCCAGCCCCAGAGAUGCAACUGAUGCAGGAGGAGCGAGUGAGAGGAGGGGGUGCUGCUUUGAAGCUACAGAAGGGACAGACAUAAGCGAACAACAGGAGCUGGUUGGAAACUCCUGGUGCUCAGCUCCUGUUAUCCUUCCUGCCCACUGCUGCUCAGCAGCCCGGCGCUGCCAUGAGACCCCUGGGAUGCUCCUGACAAGAAGCAAGGAUCCCUGCCAGCUCCUGGAGUGCACCAUCACUAUCCAUACCAUGUCAUUAAAAACACAUACAAAACAAACCAAACUUGCCUGUUUUUCCAUCGCUGUGGAGCACCCCUGGUAAUGUACAAACCCUAUGGCCCCUGGGUGCCUGGACCCCAACCCAAGGGUUUUUUUUAAUUACAUUCUAUUACUUCACUAGUUUGAUCUGCAUAAGGAAAUAGUUCAGGGAGUUCUCAUUGGGACUUUCAUUUGCUGAAUCUAUUUCUGCAGCUUUGCAUUGCCUCUUUUUUGCACUCAUCUUGUGACCAGUGAUACCAUUAAUCAACCGACCUUGAAGAGGAACAGCUUUUCUCUUCCCAGGUAACACAGCUGACAAGCAGUGGAAACUGGCUCUGUUGGCACUGACUGCUGCUAAGCACUGCAUGUGGGCUGGAGGCCUCCUGGGCACCCCGUCUGGCACAGCACCUGGCACAAAGGCAAUGCAAUUCAUCUCACUGGGGCUUCUUCAUGUAAGAAAAAGCCGUAGCCUUCAAAGACCAAAUACCUCCCACUGCCCUGACUGCCUUCAGGAGCUGUGAGUGCUCAGCACUCUGGAGAACUGGCUCUAAAAUUAACAAAGAGGAUUUCCCUGCUAGAAAUAGCACCCCCAUCGGUACGUGGGACGCACAGCUUGGGGGGAGUCUGCCACUAAAAGGCUUAAAAUGGGUCUGGGAUUCUGCUGGAGGGGUUAAGGCACGACUGACCAACACAAGCAGUGCGUUGUCACUGAUGGAGUCAUCCCACACUGCAGGAUGCACCCCAGAAACAACAUCAGGGUUACUUCCAGUACUCAGUAGCAACUCCUGCCUAUAUGGGGCUGAGUUACCCACCUCCAUCAGAACAGUCAUCAGGAACCACCUGAGCACCAGGGGUAGGUGAUGGGAUGGAAAUGGCUCUGACUGCAGCAUGUUGGCUUCGUGCUGCCCAGCGAUGGCAGCUUGUUACCAAUGCUGGCCUAAAUUUAAACAGGCAAAAAUAAAGACACAUUGGGGAGCAACCCGAGAGCAGAAAGCUUGCAGUCCUUGUCAGGGCAGUGAAGAUUUAGGACUUUCAUCCAUCAGGAGUGCAGGACUCGUGCCUCCCUUGCUGCAGUGGCCUCAUUUCAGCCACAUAUUGCAGCCCUGCAGCCCUAAGGCAGUGGCACUGAGACAGCUACAGAAAAUGGAGGGGAGUGGAAGAAGGAGAGAACGUACCUGGAGAAGGACAAGCAGAUUAAACCCCUCCCUGCUGCCAAAAGCUCUGUGGGCUCUGCAGUCAUCACCCAAAAUAGAGCCUCAGUCUGCAUCUCUCCGUGAGACAGUCCCUGCUGGAAACAUGUCAGGGCAGUGCUGGGGCAGCAGUUUGCAGCACUGGGAGCCACCUCGGGAUCUGCUGACACUGCACCCAGCUGGCUGCUUUCCCUGUGCCCCGCCACUAAAGCUGCCUGUUGACACUUGCUCACCUGGGAACGUGACACACGGCUCAACCCAGCGAGGAAUGCAGGCAGGAUUUGGGCAGAAAGGAGGGAAGGUCGUGCGUUAACCUUGGGAUGUAAGUCAGAAAGCCACCGAGCGUGCUGCCACCUGAAGCCAGGGAUACUCCCCCAGCAGGGGCUCAACAGCCUGGGUUGCUGGGCUUCAAGCCUGGCCGUGCUCUCCCAUGAGCCCUGCUGGGACUC
Molecule: RNA transcript, 4147 nt
Organism: Phasianus colchicus (ring-necked pheasant)
Lineage: Eukaryota; Metazoa; Chordata; Aves; Galliformes; Phasianidae
Gene: CRKL
Gene name: CRK like proto-oncogene, adaptor protein
Source: RefSeq, a predicted model, not a curated record